RNAcentral lists this ribosomal RNA (448 nucleotides) under uncultured bacterium. RNAcentral's name for it is "partial 16S ribosomal RNA". It matches the Rfam family "Bacterial small subunit ribosomal RNA", at positions 29 to 523 of the family's 1533-position model. The record is from RNAcentral.
AGCGAACGCUGGCGGCAGGCUUAACACAUGCAAGUCGAACGGGCACUUCGGUGUCAGUGGCAGACGGGUGAGUAACACGUGGGAACGUACCUUUUGGUUCGGAACAACUGAGGGAAACUUCAGCUAAUACCGGAUAAGCCCUUACGGGGAAAGAUUUAUCGCCGAAAGAUCGGCCCGCGUCUGAUUAGCUAGUUGGUAGGGUAAUGGCCUACCAAGGCGACGAUCAGUAGCUGGUCUGAGAGGAUGAUCAGCCACAUUGGGACUGGGACACGGCCCAAACUCCUACGGGAGGCAGCAGUGGGGAAUAUUGGACAAUGGGGCAACCCUGAUCCAGCCAUGCCGCGUGAGUGAUGAAGGCCCUAGGGUUGUAAAGCUCUUUUGUGCGGGAAGAUAAUGACGGUACCGCAAGAAUAAGCCCCGGCUAACUUCGUGCCAGCCGCCGCGGUAA